GUCCAAGUAGCUCAGCGGUAGAGCAGGCGGCUGUUAACCGCCUUGUCGCAGGUUCGAUCCCUGCCUUGGACGCCA
Molecule: transfer RNA, 75 nt
Filed under: Rhodanobacteraceae bacterium
Lineage: Bacteria; Pseudomonadati; Pseudomonadota; Gammaproteobacteria; Lysobacterales; Rhodanobacteraceae
Description: tRNA-Asn
Rfam family: tRNA
About the family: Transfer RNA (tRNA) molecules are approximately 80 nucleotides in length. Their secondary structure includes four short double-helical elements and three loops (D, anti-codon, and T loops).
Source: RNAcentral